ACGGGAGGCAGCAGUGGGGAAUAUUGGGCAAUGGGCGAAAGCCUGACCCAGCAACGCCGCGUGAAGGAAGAAGGCCUUCGGGUUGUAAACUUCUUUUAUCAGGGACGAAGAACGUGACAGUACCUGAUGAAUAAGCCACGGCUAACUACGUGCCAGCAGCCGCGGUAACACGUAAGUUGCGAGCGUUGUUCGGAUUUAUUGUGUUUAAAGGACGUGUAGGCGGUUCUGUAAGCUUGGUGUGAAAGGCGGGAGCUCAACUCCCGAAUUGCGUUGAGAACUGCAGGACUUGAGUUACUGGGGAGCAGUCAGAAUUCCAGGUGUAGGGGUGAAAUCUGUAGAUAUCUGGAAGAAUACCAAUGGCGAAGGCAGGCUGCUAACAGAUGACUGACGCUGAGGCGUGAAGGUGCGGGGAGCAAACAGGAUUAGAUACCCUGGUA
Molecule: ribosomal RNA, 437 nt
Filed under: uncultured Treponema sp.
Lineage: Bacteria; Pseudomonadati; Spirochaetota; Spirochaetia; Treponematales; Treponemataceae
Description: partial 16S ribosomal RNA
Rfam family: Bacterial small subunit ribosomal RNA
Source: RNAcentral